RNAcentral lists this ribosomal RNA (500 nucleotides) under Microbacterium sp. FS12(2011). Its description in RNAcentral is "bacterial SSU rRNA". It matches the Rfam family "Bacterial small subunit ribosomal RNA", at positions 49 to 564 of the family's 1533-position model. The record is from RNAcentral. Lineage: Bacteria; Bacillati; Actinomycetota; Actinomycetes; Micrococcales; Microbacteriaceae.
GGCUACCUGCAGUCGACGGUGAGCAGAGCUUGCUCUGUGGAUCAGUGGCGAACGGGUGAGUAACACGUGAGCAACCUGCCCCUGACUCUGGGAUAAGCGCUGGAAACGGCGUCUAAUACUGGAUAUGAGCUGCGACCGCAUGGUCAGCAGUUGGAAAGAUUUUUCGGUCUGGGAUGGGCUCACGGCCUAUCAGCUUGUUGGUGAGGUAAUGGCUCACCAAGGCGUCGACGGGUAGCCGGCCUGAGAGGGUGACCGGCCACACUGGGACUGAGACACGGCCCAGACUCCUACGGGAGGCAGCAGUGGGGAAUAUUGCACAAUGGGCGCAAGCCUGAUGCAACAACGCCGCGUGAGGGACGACGGCCUUCGGGUUGUAAACCUCUUUUAGCAGGGAAAAAGCAAAAGUGACGGUACCUGCAAAAAAAGCGCCGGCUAACUACGUGCCAGCAGCCGCGGUAAUACUUAGGGCGCAAGCGUUAUCCGGAAUUAUUGGGCGAAAA